RNAcentral lists this ribosomal RNA (625 nucleotides) under Kocuria sp. MJS16. Its description in RNAcentral is "bacterial SSU rRNA". It matches the Rfam family "Bacterial small subunit ribosomal RNA", at positions 118 to 755 of the family's 1533-position model. The record is from RNAcentral. Lineage: Bacteria; Bacillati; Actinomycetota; Actinomycetes; Micrococcales; Micrococcaceae.
UGAGUAACCUGCCCUUGACUCUGGGAUAAGCCUGGGAAACUGGGUCUAAUACUGGAUACUACCUAAUACCGCAUGGUGGGUGGUGGAAAGGGUUUUACUGGUUUUGGAUGGGCUCACGGCCUAUCAGCUUGUUGGUGGGGUAAUGGCUCACCAAGGCGACGACGGGUAGCCGGCCUGAGAGGGUGACCGGCCACACUGGGACUGAGACACGGCCCAGACUCCUACGGGAGGCAGCAGUGGGGAAUAUUGCACAAUGGGCGGAAGCCUGAUGCAGCGACGCCGCGUGAGGGAUGACGGCCUUCGGGUUGUAAACCUCUUUCAGUAGGGAAGAAGCGAGAGUGACGGUACCUGCAGAAGAAGCGCCGGCUAACUACGUGCCAGCAGCCGCGGUAAUACGUAGGGCGCAAGCGUUGUCCGGAAUUAUUGGGCGUAAAGAGCUCGUAGGCGGUUUGUCGCGUCUGCUGUGAAAGCCCGGGGCUCAACCCCGGGUCUGCAGUGGGUACGGGCAGACUAGAGUGCAGUAGGGGAGACUGGAAUUCCUGGUGUAGCGGUGAAAUGCGCAGAUAUCAGGAGGAACACCGAUGGCGAAGGCAGGUCUCUGGGCUGUUACUGACGCUGAGGAGCG